Molecule: non-coding RNA, 26 nt
Filed under: Mus musculus (house mouse)
Lineage: Eukaryota; Metazoa; Chordata; Mammalia; Rodentia; Muridae
Source: RNAcentral
UAGAUGAAUCAGCUGAUGUUCAAAUA